UGGGUGUAGAGCUGUAUAUAGAGGUGUGGUGGGUGUAGAGCUGUAUAUAGAGGUGUGGUGGGUGUACAGGUGUAUAGAGGUGUGGUGGGUGUACAGGUGUAUAGAGGUGUGGUGGGUGUACAGGUGUAUAGAGGUGUGGUGGGUGUAGAGCUGUAUAUAGAGGUGUGGUGGGUGUGUACAGGUGUAUAGAGGUGUGGUGGGUGUAGAGGUGAAUAUAGAGGUGUGGUGGGUGUAGAGGUGUAUAGAGGUGUGGUGGGUGUAGAGGUGUAUUGUGGUGUGGUGGGUGUACAGGUGUAUAUAGAGGUGUGGUGGGUGUAGAGGUGUAUAGAGGUGUGGUGGGUGUAGAGAGGUAUAUAGUGGUGUGGUGGGUGUAGAGCUGUAUAGAGGUGUGGUGGGUGUAGAGGUGUAUUGUGGUGUGGUGGGUGUAGAGGUGUAUUGUGGUGUGGUGGGUGUAGAGGUGUAUUGUGGUGUGGUGGGUGUAGAGGUGUAUUGUGGUGUGGUGGGUUUAGAGCUGUAUAUAGAGGUGUGGUGGUGUAGAGCUGUAUAUAGAGGUGUGGUGGGUGUAUAGAGGUGUAUAGAGGUGUGGUGGGUGUAGAGCUGUAUAUAGAGGUGUGGUGGGUGUAGAGCUGUAUAUAGAGGUGUGGUGGGUGUAGAGCUGUAUAUAGAGGUGUGGUGUGUGUAUAGAGGUUUGGUGGGUGUAGAGCUGUAUAUAGAGGUGUGGUGGGUGUAGAGGUGUAUUGUGGUGUGGUGGGUGUAGAGGUGUAUUGUGGUGUGGUGGGUGUAGAGGUGUAUUGUGG
This 797-nucleotide long non-coding RNA is filed under the name Salmo salar (Atlantic salmon). Its description in RNAcentral is "lncRNA (ENSSSAG00000109344.1)". Lineage: Eukaryota; Metazoa; Chordata; Actinopteri; Salmoniformes; Salmonidae. The record is from RNAcentral.